UCCAUCUGUUGAUAUUCUUUAUAACCCUUAUAACAGGGGCCUUGACAGAUGAAGAUGUGAUAAGAGCUCUGUUGGGUGGGAGUGCGUCUUUUAAUUUUAAGGUUACAACAAACAUGAAAGUAACCCUAGCUGUAUGGAAAAAGUGUCCAAAUCAGAAGGUUUUUGUGUUCAGCCCCAUCCAUGGACUUACUAUAUUUGACAACAACUAUGCUGGUCGUCUUUCCGUAAAAUCUAACCACAGCAUUAUACUGGAUAAAUUACAAGAGAGUGACUUUGUGACUUACUGUUACGAACUCACCACUUUCCCAUAUGGGAGUCUUCAAGGACAAAAUAAGCUAGAGAAAAGGACAGAAAAUGGUGACGUGCCCAUCACGAUAAUCUCCGUGGGUUGCAGCAUAGGUUUAAUAGUGUUAUGUGGAAUCAUCGC
This 427-nucleotide long non-coding RNA is filed under the name Sinocyclocheilus anshuiensis. RNAcentral describes it as "lncRNA (ENSSANG00000009683.1)". Lineage: Eukaryota; Metazoa; Chordata; Actinopteri; Cypriniformes; Cyprinidae. The record is from RNAcentral.